This 253-nucleotide ribosomal RNA is filed under the name uncultured bacterium. RNAcentral's name for it is "partial 16S ribosomal RNA". It matches the Rfam family "Bacterial small subunit ribosomal RNA", at positions 524 to 776 of the family's 1533-position model. The record is from RNAcentral.
UACGUAGGGACCAAGCGUUGUUCGGAUUUACUGGGCGUAAAGCGCGUGUAGGCGGCUCGGAAAGUCGGAUGUGAAAUCCCCAGGCUCAACCUGGGAACUGCAUCCGAUACUGGAUGGCUUGAAUUCGGGAGAGGGAUGCAGAAUUCCAGGUGUAGCGGUGAAAUGCGUAGAUAUCUGGAGGAACACCGGUGGCGAAGGCGGCAUCCUGGACCGACACUGACGCUGAGGCGCGAAAGCUAGGGGAGCAAACAGG